This 105-nucleotide transfer RNA is filed under the name Candidatus Heimdallarchaeota archaeon. Its description in RNAcentral is "tRNA-Met". It matches the Rfam family "tRNA". From Rfam's summary of the family: Transfer RNA (tRNA) molecules are approximately 80 nucleotides in length. Their secondary structure includes four short double-helical elements and three loops (D, anti-codon, and T loops). Further hydrogen bonds mediate the characteristic L-shaped molecular structure. tRNAs have two regions of fundamental functional importance: the anti-codon, which is responsible for specific mRNA codon recognition, and the 3' end, to which the tRNAs corresponding amino acid is attached (by aminoacyl-tRNA synthetases). tRNAs cope with the degeneracy of the genetic code in two manners: having more than one tRNA (with a specific anti-codon) for a particular amino acid; and 'wobble' base-pairing, i.e. permitting non-standard base-pairing at the 3rd anti-codon position. Lineage: Archaea; Promethearchaeati; Candidatus Heimdallarchaeota. The record is from RNAcentral.
GCUGGGGUGGCUUAAAGCCUGGUAUAAUAAUAUGUCUAUAGUCAAAAUGCCGAUAGCGCGGGACUCAUAAUCCCGAAGUCGGGGGUUCGAAGCCCCCCCCCAGCA